CCAGACUCCUACGGGAGGCAGCAGUGGGGAAUAUUGCACAAUGGGGGAAACCCUGAUGCAGCAACGCCGCGUGAGUGAGGAAGUAUUUCGGUAUGUAAAGCUCUAUCAGCAGGGAAUAGAAAAGAAGGUACCUGAAAAAGAAGCCCCGGCUAACUACGUGCCAGCAGCCGCGGUAAUACGGAGGAUGCGAGCGUUAUCCGGAUUUAUUGGGUUUAAAGGGUGCGUAGGCGGACGCUUAAGUCAGCGGUAAAAUGGCGGGGCUCAACCUCGUCGAGCCGUUGAAACUGGGUGCCUUGAGUGGGCGAGAAGUACGCGGAAUGCGUGGUGUAGCGGUGAAAUGCAUAGAUAUCACGCAGAACUCCGAUUGCGAAGGCAGCGCACCGGCGCCCUACUGACGCUCAGGCACGAAAGCGUGGGUAUCGAACAGGAUUAGAUACCCCAGUAGA
This 446-nucleotide ribosomal RNA is filed under the name uncultured bacterium. RNAcentral describes it as "bacterial SSU rRNA". It matches the Rfam family "Bacterial small subunit ribosomal RNA", at positions 331 to 794 of the family's 1533-position model. The record is from RNAcentral.